UAGCAUAUCAAUAAGCGGAGGAAAAGAAACUAACAAGGAUUCCCCUAGUAACGGCGAGUGAAGCGGGAAGAGUACAAAUUUUAAAUCUACCUGGCUUCCAGGUUGAGUUGUAAUUUGAGGAUACGUUUUUGAUAUUCCUGGUUGGACUAAAUCCUUUGGGAUAAGGUAUCAUAGAGGGUGAGAAUCCCGUGUAUACCAACCGUAGGGAUGUUAUUUAAUACGUUUCUAAGAGUCGAGUUGUUUGGGAAUGCAGCUCUAAAUGGGUGGUAAAUUUCACCUAAUGCUAAAUAUAAGCGAGAGACCGAUAGCGAACAAGUACAGUGAUGGAAAGAUGAAAAGAACUUUGAAAAGAGAGUUAAAUAGUACGUGAAAUUGUUGAAAGGGAAACGAUUGAAGUCAGUCAUGCCAGUGGGAAUCAACUUAGAGGAAACUCUAGGUGCACUUCUUCGCUUGGCAGGUUAGUGUCGAUUUUGGAUGUCAUAAAAUGACUGGGGGAAGAUAGCUCCUUUGGGAGUGUUAUAGCCCUUGGUAGAUGUGAUGUCUGGGAUCGAGGAUUGCAACGGAUACUCUUUAGGGCUAGUCACCUGAUCUCUAAUUGGUGUUAGAUUACGGACAGCAUGCUGACCGUGAUUUAAUUAUUGGUUUAAAAGGUUAGAGUGCACAUAAAUUUCGUUAAGGACACUGAUGUAAUGGCUUUAAAUGACCCGUCUUGAAACACGGACC
This 723-nucleotide ribosomal RNA is filed under the name Gigaspora albida. RNAcentral describes it as "eukaryotic LSU rRNA". It matches the Rfam family "Eukaryotic large subunit ribosomal RNA", at positions 36 to 667 of the family's 3401-position model. The record is from RNAcentral. Lineage: Eukaryota; Fungi; Glomeromycota; Glomeromycetes; Diversisporales; Gigasporaceae.